This 3159-nucleotide long non-coding RNA is filed under the name Takifugu rubripes (torafugu). Its description in RNAcentral is "lncRNA (ENSTRUG00000029356.1)". The record is from RNAcentral. Lineage: Eukaryota; Metazoa; Chordata; Actinopteri; Tetraodontiformes; Tetraodontidae.
AUGGAAAUAAAGGUGGUGUUAAAUCUCUCUCUCUGCCUGUCUCUCUCUCUCUGCCUCCCUCUCUCUCUCUGCCUGUCUCUCUCUCUGCCUCCCUGUCUCUCUCUCUGCCUCCCUGUCUCUCUCUCUGCCUGUCUCUCUCUCUGCCUCCCUGUCUCUCUCUCUGCCUGUCUCUCUCUGCCUGUCUCUCUCUCUGCCUCCCUGUCUCUCUCUCUGCCUGUCUCUCUCUGCCUGUCUCUCUCUCUGUGCCUGUCUCUCCCUCUCUCUCUCUCUGCCGGUCUCUCUCUCUGCCGGUCUCUCUCUCUGCCUCCCUGUCUCUCUCUGCCGGUCUCUCUCUCUGCCGGUCUCUCUCUCUGCCUCCCUGUCUCUCUCUCUGCCUGUCUCUCUCUGCCUGUCUCUCUCUCUGUGCCUGUCUCUCCCUCUCUCUGCCUGUCUCUCUCUCUCUCUCUCUCUGCCGGUCUCUCUCUCUCUCUGCCUCCCUCUCUCUGCCUGUCUCUCUCUGCCUCCCUCUCUCUGCCUGUCUCUCCCUCUCUCUGCCUGUCUCUCUCUCUGCCGGUCUCUCUCUCUCUCUGCCUCCCUCUCUCUGCCUGUCUCUCUCUCUCUCUGCCUCCCUCUCUCUGCCUGUCUCUCUCUCUGCCUGUCUCUCUCUCUCUCUGCCUCCCUCUCUCUGCCUGUCUCUCUCUCUGCCUGUCUCUCUCUCUGCCUGUCUCUCUCUGCCUCCCUCUCUCUGCCUCCCUCUCUCUGCCCCCCCCUCUCUCUCUGCCUGUCUCUCUCUCUGCCUGUCUCUCUCUCUGCCUGUCUCUCUCUCUGCCUCCCUGUCUCUCUCUGCCGGUCUCUCUCUCUGCCGGUCUCUCUCUCUGCCUCCCUGUCUCUCUCUCUGCCUGUCUCUCUCUGCCUGUCUCUCUCUCUGUGCCUGUCUCUCCCUCUCUCUGCCUGUCUCUCUCUCUCAAAAUCUCUCUGCCGGUCUCUCUCUCUCUCUGCCUCCCUCUCUCUGCCUGUCUCUCUCUGCCUCCCUCUCUCUGCCUGUCUCUCCCUCUCUCUGCCUGUCUCUCUCUCUGCCGGUCUCUCUCUCUCUCUGCCUCCCUCUCUCUGCCUGUCUCUCUCUCUGCCUGUCUCUCUCUCUCUCUGCCUCCCUCUCUCUGCCUGUCUCUCUCUCUGCCUGUCUCUCUCUCUCUCUGCCUCCCUCUCUCUGCCUGUCUCUCUCUCUGCCUGUCUCUCUCUCUGCCUGUCUCUCUCUGCUCCUCUCUCUGCCUCCCUCUCUCUGCCUCCCUCUCUCUCUCUCUGCCUCCCUCUCUCUGCCUGUCUCUCUCUCUCUCUGCCUGUCUCUCUCUCUGCCUGUCUCUCUCUCUGCCUGUCUCUCUCUCUGCCUGUCUCUCUCUCUCUGCCUCCCUGUCUCUCUCUCUGCCUGUCUCUCUCUGCCUCCCUCUCUCUGCCUGUCUCUCUCUGCCUGUCUCUCCCUCUGCCUGUCUCUCUCUGCCUCCCUCUCUCUGCCUGUCUCUCUCUCUGCCUGUCUCUCUCUCUGCCUCCCUGUCUCUCUCUCUGCCUGUCUCUCUCUGCCUCCCUCUCUCUGCCUGUCUCUCUCUCUGCCUGUCUCUCUCUCUGCCUGUCUCUCUCUGCCUGUCUCUCUCUGCCUGUCUCUCUCUGCCUGUCUCUCCCUCUGCCUGUCUCUCUCUCUGCCUCCCUGUCUCUCUCUCUGCCUGUCUCUCUCUGCCUCCCUCUCUCUGCCUGUCUCUCCCUCUGCCUGUCUCUCUCUGCCUGUCUCUCUCUCUCCUCUGCCUCCCUCUCUCUGCCUGUCUCUCUCUCUGCCUGUCUCUCUCUCUGCCUCCCUGUCUCUCUCUCUGCCUGUCUCUCUCUCUGCCUCCCUCUCUCUGCCUGUCUCUCUCUCUGCCUGUCUCUCUCUCUGCCUGUCUCUCUCUGCCUCCCUCUCUCUGCCUGUCUCUCUCUCUGCCUGUCUCUCUCUCUGCCUGUCUCUCUCUGCCUCCCUCUCUCUGCCUGUCUCUCUCUCUGCCUCCCUCUCUCUGCCUGUCUCUCUCUCUGCCUGUCUCUCUCUGCCUCCCUCUCUCUGCCUCCCUCUCUCUGCCUGUCUCUCCCUCUGCCUGUCUCUCUCUCUGCCUGUCUCUCCCUCUGCCUGUCUCUCUCUCUGCCGGUCUCUCUCUCUCUCUGCCUGUCUCUCUCUCUGCCUGUCUCUCUCUCUGCCUGUCUCUCUCUCUGCCUGUCUCUCUCUCUCUGCCUGUCUCUCUCUCUGCCUGUCUCUCUCUCUGCCUGUCUCUCUCUGCCUCCCUCUCUCUGCCUGUCUCUCUCUCUGCCUGUCUCUCUCUGCCUCCCUCUCUCUGCCUCCCUCUCUCUGCCUGUCUCUCUCUCUGCCUGUCUCUCUCUGCCUCCCUCUCUCUGCCUGUCUCUCUCUCUGCCUGUCUCUCCCUCCUGUCUCUCUCUCUCUCUCUGUCUCUGCCUCCCUCUCUCUGCCUGUCUCUCUCUCUCCUGUCUCUCUCUCUGCCUCCCUGUCUCUCUCUCUGCCUGUCUCUCUCUGCCUCCCUCUCUCUGCCUGUCUCUCUCUCUGCCUGUCUCUCUCUCUCUGCCUGUCUCUCUCUGCCUACCUCUCUCUGCCUGUCUCUCUCUGCCUGUCUCUCUCUCUGCCUGUCUCUCUCUGCCUCCUCUCUCUCUGCCUCCUCUCUCUGCCUGUCUCUCUCUCUGCCUGUCUCUCUCUCUCCUCUGCCGUCUCUCUGCCUGUCUCUCUCUGCCUCCCUCUCUCUGCCUGUCUCUCUCUCUGCCUGUCUCUCUCUCUGCCUGUCUCUCUCUCUGCCUGUCUCUCUCUGCCUCCCUCUCUCUGCCUCCUCUCUCUCUGCCUGUCUCUCCCUCUGCCUGUCUCUCUCUCUGCCUCUCUCUCUCUCUCUGCCUGUCUCUCUCUCUGCCUGUCUCUCCCUCUGCCUGUCUCUCUCUCUGCCUGUCUCUCUCUGCCUGUCUCUCUCUCUGCCUGUCUCUCUCUCUCUAAAACACCUGAACGGGUCAGGUGAUGAACUGAUUCACGAGUGUGUGUGUGUUCCAGAGAGGUGGACAGGAUGCUCCAGUCGCUCAGCUCCUUCCUGUCUCCACCAGCUCAGGUCAGGAAAAGCAGUCGCCGCUCCAACAGCCCACCUCCAGGAGACGAUGACAUCAUCAUUGUGA